RNAcentral lists this ribosomal RNA (1212 nucleotides) under Triticum aestivum (bread wheat). RNAcentral describes it as "partial small subunit ribosomal RNA". The record is from RNAcentral. Lineage: Eukaryota; Viridiplantae; Streptophyta; Magnoliopsida; Poales; Poaceae.
AUGUCACACUCUUUCUCCAGCUCCGUUUCCUCAUGCGCCAACGAGCUGCUGAACGAACUCCACGACCAUCUGGGCUUCAGGACGCUCAGGCCAGAGCUCGCGCACCAACUGUUCGAUGAAAUGCUACGCCAACCAGUCCCAGUAUCAGUACGUGCACUCAACGACUUAUUUGUUGCCCUUGCGCGUGCGCCGCCCUCCACCAUCUGCACCGACGGACCUGCCCUCGCCAUUGAUCUCUUCAACCGCAUGGCCCAAGCAGGCCGUCGCCAGGUGAUAGCACCCACCAUUAUCACCUACAACAUACUAAUUGACUGCUGCCACCGAGCAUGCCGCCCGGACCUAGGGCAUGCCUUCUUCGGUCGCCUCCUCAAGACAGGCAUCACAAUGAGCGUCAUUACCUACAACAGCCUAUUCAUGUGCCUCUGUGACAUGAGGCGAACAAAGGAGGCUCUGAACAUGCUGCUCCAUAGGAUGCCCGAUGACUUGCCUAAUGUCAUCUCCUACUCAGUGAUUCUCAAGAGUUUCAGCGACAGUGGGAGGAGCCAGCUUGCGCUUGACCUGCUCCAAAUGAUGGCCAAAAAAGGUGCUGACCACUCCCCCGACGUGAUGUCAUACAACAUAGUAAUUGAUGGCUUUUUUAAAGAGGGUGAAGUAAGCAAAGCAUGCGAUCUAUUCCAAGAAAUGAUACGACAGGGGAUUGUGCCUACUAAGGUGACAUAUAUCUCCAUUAUCAAUGCGCUGUGCAAAGCAAGAGCAAUGGACAAGGUAGAGGUGGUUCUUCGAUCAAUGGUUCAUAAUGGUGUCCAACCAGAAGCUGUGACAUAUAGUAGCAUGAUCCAAGGAUAUUCAACUUUGGGCCAGUUGAAAGAAGUUGCUAGGUUGUUGCAAGUAAUGAGAAGCCAAUGUUGUAUGCCAAAUGUUGUUACUUGCAGCUCAGUCAUGGAUUACCUUUGCAAGCAUGGAAGAAUCAAAGAAGCCGAGGAAAUAUUUUAUUCCAUGGCCGUGAAUGGACGAAAACCUAAUGUCAUCUCAUACUCUAUUAUGCUCCAUGGGUACGCUAUAGAAGGAACCCUUAUUAAAAUGAUUGAUCUCUGUGAGCUGAUGGCAAGAGAUGGAGUUGUACCCGACCUCCGUUGUUUCAACAUACUGAUUAAUGCAUAUGCUAAGUAUGGCAUGAUGGAUGUGGCCAUGCUUUUCUUUGAAGACAUGUAG